CAGUAGCCGCGGGAAAACGAAGGGUGCAAGCGUUACUCGGAAUUACUGGGCGUAAAGCGUGCGUAGGUGGUGGUUUAAGUCCGUUGUGAAAGCCCUGGGCUCAACCUGGGAAUUGCAGUGGAUACUGGGUCACUAGAGUGUGGUAGAGGAUAGUGGAAUUUCCGGUGUAGCAGUGAAAUGCGUAGAGAUCGGAAGGAACAUCUGUGGCGAAGGCGACUAUCUGGGCCAACACUGACACUGAGGCACGAAAGCGUGGGGAGCAAACAGGAUUAGAUACCCGAGUAGUCCCUGUCUCUUAUAA
Molecule: ribosomal RNA, 301 nt
Filed under: uncultured bacterium
Lineage: Bacteria
Description: partial 16S ribosomal RNA
Rfam family: Bacterial small subunit ribosomal RNA
Source: RNAcentral